RNAcentral lists this ribosomal RNA (393 nucleotides) under uncultured bacterium. Its description in RNAcentral is "bacterial SSU rRNA". It matches the Rfam family "Bacterial small subunit ribosomal RNA", at positions 975 to 1368 of the family's 1533-position model. The record is from RNAcentral.
CUGGUCUUGACAUCCUGGGAAUCCUGUAGAGAUAUGGGAGUGCCGCAAGGAACCCAGAGACAGGUGCUGCAUGGCUGUCGUCAGCUCGUGUCGUGAGAUGUUGGGUUAAGUCCCGCAACGAGCGCAACCCUUGUCCUUAGUUGCCAUCAUUCAGUUGGGCACUCUAAGGAGACCGCCGGUGACGAACCGGAGGAAGGUGGGGAUGACGUCAAGUCAUCAUGGCCUUUAUGACCAGGGCUACACACGUGCUACAAUGGUAGGUACAGAGGGAAGCCAACGCGUGAGCGGGAGCCAAUCCCAGAAAACCUAUCGUAGUCCGGAUUGGAGUCUGCAACUCGGCUCCAUGAAGUCGGAAUCGCUAGUAAUCGCAGAUCAGCAUUGCUGCGGUGAAUA